This 69-nucleotide transfer RNA is filed under the name Crystallogobius linearis (crystal goby). RNAcentral describes it as "tRNA-His". It matches the Rfam family "tRNA". From Rfam's summary of the family: Transfer RNA (tRNA) molecules are approximately 80 nucleotides in length. Lineage: Eukaryota; Metazoa; Chordata; Actinopteri; Gobiiformes; Gobiidae. The record is from RNAcentral.
GUGGGCGUAGUUUAACCAAAACACUAGAUUGUGAUUCUAGGGACAGAAGUUAAAAUCUUCUCGCCCGCC